CCUACGGGAGGCAGCAGUGGGGAAUAUUGGACAAUGGGCGAAAGCCUGAUCCAGCCAUGCCGCGUGUGUGAAGAGGGCCUUCGGGUUGUAAAGCACUUUCAGUGGGGAAGAAAGCCUUGGGGCUAAUACCCUCGAGGAAGGACAUCACCCACAGAAGAAGCACCGGCUAACUCCGUGCCAGCAGCCGCGGUAAUACGGAGGGUGCGAGCGUUAAUCGGAAUUACUGGGCGUAAAGCGCGCGUAGGCGGUCUGAUAAGCCGGUUGUGAAAGCCCCGGGCUCAACCUGGGAACGGCAUCCGGAACUGUCAGGCUAGAGUGCAGGAGAGGAAGGUAGAAUUCCCGGUGUAGCGGUGAAAUGCGUAGAGAUCGGGAGGAAUACCAGUGGCGAAGGCGGCCUUCUGGACUGACACUGACGCUGAGGUGCGAAAGCGUGGGUAGCAAACAGGAUUAGAUACCCGUGUAGUC
Molecule: ribosomal RNA, 465 nt
Filed under: Vreelandella stevensii
Lineage: Bacteria; Pseudomonadati; Pseudomonadota; Gammaproteobacteria; Oceanospirillales; Halomonadaceae
Description: partial 16S ribosomal RNA
Rfam family: Bacterial small subunit ribosomal RNA
Source: RNAcentral